This 239-nucleotide ribosomal RNA is filed under the name uncultured bacterium. Its description in RNAcentral is "partial 16S ribosomal RNA". It matches the Rfam family "Bacterial small subunit ribosomal RNA", at positions 524 to 762 of the family's 1533-position model. The record is from RNAcentral.
AGCGUAGGAGACGAACGUUAUCCGGAGUUACUGGGCGUAAAGGGCGUGUAGGCGGUAUGCUAAGUCUGGCGUGAAAGCUCUCGGCUAAACCGGGAGAGGUCGUUGGAUACUGGCAAACUAGAGGAUGGUAGAGGCGUGUGGAAUUCCGGGUGUAGUGGUGAAAUGCGUAGAGAUCCGGAGGAACACCAGUGGCGAAGGCGACACGCUGGGCCAUACCUGACGCUAAAGCGCGACAGCAU